Alligator sinensis (Chinese alligator) is the source of this 565-nucleotide long non-coding RNA. RefSeq lists it as uncharacterized. The transcript is spliced from 3 exons. NCBI's taxonomy places the organism in Eukaryota, Metazoa, Chordata, Crocodylia, Alligatoridae. The record is from RefSeq and is a predicted model, not a curated record.
UGACAUCUAAAUGUCAUACCCACUUUUGGUAUAGUUUGCUAUUGGUAAAAAAAAAAUAUCAGGGGAAGGCGAGCAAAUGGUUUUGGAUCUGACAGUCCACCUCACAUGCCUCUCAAAGUCACUUAAGAAGUACCUAAACAGUGGGAGAUUAAGUUUGACCCUUAUUCACCAGGAGUGCAGCGAUCUGCCCCUACGAAGAAACCACCCACAUAAGGACGACCCUGGAGAGCACCACAAAACCCAACUGGCUUCCAAAUUACUGGGCUCGCCUGGAGACAGGCGAACUGGCGAGAUAAUACUGCUAGGGAGGGAAAAUAAAGCACGACAACAAUCCACACAGGGCUUGGUAUCUUUUUUUUAAGCAGUCUCUAAAAGCUACCAUCACCGAGGUGCUCCAUUAUGCUUGAUUCCAACCCAGACAUCUACUCUAGCCAGAAAAUGGAGUAACUUCCCUCUUUGAAAAAUGAUAUCAGCCUCCACUCGGCACAGAAUCUCCACUUCCCCUCCAUUACUACUGAGAUUCCAAAUCAGCAGGCAAAUUAACACAGGAAUUAAAAAAAAAAAG